GUAACGGCAAUGGGAGAUCAGAGCCCCGCGCGCGUUGCGGUCCUCGCGCUCGCAGCGCUCGCCUUCUGCGUAACGGUCGCGAUCAACGCGUUGGCCGGAUCCGGCAGCAAAGGAGGUCCCUUCCAUCAAAGCACAGGGAACGUAUCGGCCAAAUACGAAACGGACAUAACGCCGGCGGGCUGGACCUUCUCCAUCUGGGGAGUCAUCUACGCCUGGCUCUCUGCUAUGAUGCUCUACAUCGUAACUGGUUUGUGCCGGAGGAAUUCCUAUGGGUGGACGUACUGUAAGCCUGCAGUCCUGCCCUAUGGCUUCUUCUUGUCUUGGACCCUGAACAUGAUUUUAAACAUCGUGUGGUUGUUCCUGUGGGACAGAGAGCAACUUGUUGCAGGCCUUGUUGUGUUGGCCCUCAUCGCUUUCACCAAUUACCUCGUCAUUUUCUUCUGCUGUCACGGGUUGCAUUUAUACGGGGCUUGGCUGAACAAAGACCACAAAGUGGACCUCUGGGCCAUUCGGGUGCUGAUCCUGAACGGUGUUGGAGUCUAUGCAACGUGGACCACCAUAGCGACGCUGCUCAACUUCAGCGUUGUGCUGGAGUACAGUGCGGGGGCGUCCAGAGCCGGAGCAGGAACCGUGGGUCUCUCUCUUCUUUUGGCAGAGGUGAUCAUAUGGUUCAUUUUGGAGAACGUUUUGCUGGAGAGACACGUACGCUACCUCCUCACGGUCUACCCGGUGGUGAUUGUCGCCUUGACCGGCAACGUGGCGAAACGUUACGACCCCGCAGCUCCCAGUCGGAACAGCAUCUUUACAGCUGUUCUCCUGGCCUUGGCCUGUGCGCUCUUCGUUCUGCGUGUUCUCUUGGUGGUAUUCAGAUGCUGGAAGCAGCCUCUCUACCGAGGCGAAAACACAGAAGCCCUGAUGUCACCCUUAGAUAUUGCUGAGAAACAGAAAAGAGUCUUUAUUUAGCCAAGUGGUCGUGUAUAAAAGAGUCAUCUGUUAAGGUCCAGUGUCUCUUAUUUUGGGCCUCCUUUUAAUAACAGAAUAAAUAGCGGUACUGUAACGUCUCA
This 1064-nucleotide long non-coding RNA is filed under the name Scleropages formosus (Asian bonytongue). Its description in RNAcentral is "lncRNA (ENSSFOG00015000796.2)". Lineage: Eukaryota; Metazoa; Chordata; Actinopteri; Osteoglossiformes; Osteoglossidae. The record is from RNAcentral.